AUGCAAAGAACUUUGAAAAGAGAGUUAAAAAGUACCUGAAAUUGCUGAAAGGUAAGCGAAGGAAACCAGUGCUUAGUUUAGUCAUAUUUUUCUUGUUACUUGUAGCAAGGACGCUGUGGCUGGACGUUGGUCAAGAUCAAUUUUUUCUGGGGUAACAGUGUUGUCAGGAGGUAGCCCUUCGGGGUGUUUAACUGACUUCACCUAUCCUGGAUGAGAUUGAGGUAAGUCAUGUAAGUGCUCGUGAUCUUGACAAAAUGGUUUUCUUUACCCCGUCUUGAAACACGGACCAAGGAGUCUAACAUAUGUGCGAGUACAGAGGUGRCAAACCUCCGUGCGUAAUGAAAGUAACAGUGGUUGGACUCGUUUGAGGCACAAUCUGCCGGCCAUAAUCCUUCGGGAGAAAGGUCUGAGUGUGAGCAUAUAUGUUGGGACCCGAAAGAUGAUGAACUAUGCCUGAAUAGGGUGAAGCCAGGGGAAACUCUGGUGGAGGCUCGUAGCGAUUCUGACGUGCAAAUCGAUCGUCAAAUUCAGGUAUAGGGGCGAAAGACUAAUCGAAUCAUCUAGUAGCUGGUUCCCUCCGAAAUUUCCCUCAGGAUAGCUGCAAUCAAAUGUCAAUCUUAUCA
RNAcentral lists this ribosomal RNA (623 nucleotides) under Odontella sp. 1BOF. RNAcentral's name for it is "eukaryotic LSU rRNA". It matches the Rfam family "Eukaryotic large subunit ribosomal RNA", at positions 364 to 1006 of the family's 3401-position model. Lineage: Eukaryota; Bacillariophyta; Thalassiosirophyceae; Eupodiscales; Odontellaceae. The record is from RNAcentral.